RNAcentral lists this ribosomal RNA (497 nucleotides) under uncultured bacterium. RNAcentral describes it as "partial 16S ribosomal RNA". It matches the Rfam family "Bacterial small subunit ribosomal RNA", at positions 28 to 507 of the family's 1533-position model. The record is from RNAcentral.
GAUGAACGCUGGCGGCGUGCCUAAUACAUGCAAGUCGAGCGAACGGACGAGAAGCUUGCUUCUCUGAUGUUAUCGGCGGACGGGUGAGUAACGCGUGGAUAACCUACCUAUAAGACUGGGAUAACUUCGGGAAACCGGAGCUAAUACCGGAUAAUAUUUUGAACCGCAUGGUUCAAAAGUGAAAGACGGUCCUGCUGUCACUUAUAGAUGGAUCCGCGCUGCAUUAGCUAGUUGGUAAGGUAACGGCUUACCAAGGCAACGAUGCAUAGCCGACCUGAGAGGGUGAUCGGCCACACUGGAACUGAGACACGGUCCAGACUCCUACGGGAGGCAGCAGUAGGGAAUCUUCCGCAAUGGGCGAAAGCCUGACGGAGCAACGCCGCGUGAGUGAUGAAGGUCUUCGGAUCGUAAAACUCUGUUAUUAGGGAAGAACAUAUGUGUAAGUAACUGUGCACACCUUGACGGUACCUAAUCAGAAAGCCACGGCUAACUACGUG